UUGCUUGAUGAGAAGAUCCUACACAACUGCAUAAAGAGCUAGUGGAAGAAGUCAUACCAGAGAUGGAGCCACACAGGAAGUCUUAGGGACCGAAACUUCAUCGAUGGAGUUGGUGCAAGAAGAUAUACAUCCAACAAUGGUGGAUAGUAACGAUGCCGAUCCCAUGCACGAGGAUUUGCUGAAUGAAAUAUACCCACACAGCUGAUCUGGCCAUCACAUGGAAGUGUGGUCUUCUAUGACAACAUCAUUCAUGUCUUCCUCUGCUCUAGCGUUGACAUCGCGUGCAAGUACGAGGUGA
Molecule: long non-coding RNA, 298 nt
Organism: Lolium rigidum
Lineage: Eukaryota; Viridiplantae; Streptophyta; Magnoliopsida; Poales; Poaceae
Exons: 3
Source: RefSeq, a predicted model, not a curated record